CCUACGGGUGGCUGCAGUGGGGAAUAUUGCACAAUGGGCGCAAGCCUGAUGCAGCCAUGCCGCGUGUGUGAAGAAGGCCUUCGGGUUGUAAAGCACUUUCAGCGGGGAGGAAGGCGGUGAGGUUAAUAACCUCAUCGAUUGACGUUACCCGCAGAAGAAGCACCGGCUAACUCCGUGCCAGCAGCCGCGGUAAUACGGGGGUGCAAGCGUUAAUCGGAAUUACUGGGCGUAAAGCGCACGCAGGCGGUCUGUCAAGUCGGAUGUGAAAUCCCCGGGCUCAACCUGGGAACUGCAUUCGAAACUGGCAGGCUAGAGUCUUGUAGAGGGGGGUAGAAUUCCAGGUGUAGCGGUGAAAUGCGUAGAGAUCUGGAGGAAUACCGGUGGCGAAGGCGGCCCCCUGGACAAAGACUGACGCUCAGGUGCGAAAGCGUGGGGAGCAAACAGGAUUAGAUACCCUUGUAGUC
RNAcentral lists this ribosomal RNA (464 nucleotides) under uncultured Klebsiella sp. RNAcentral's name for it is "bacterial SSU rRNA". It matches the Rfam family "Bacterial small subunit ribosomal RNA", at positions 338 to 795 of the family's 1533-position model. Lineage: Bacteria; Pseudomonadati; Pseudomonadota; Gammaproteobacteria; Enterobacterales; Enterobacteriaceae. The record is from RNAcentral.